This 177-nucleotide small nuclear RNA is filed under the name Citrus sinensis (sweet orange). RNAcentral describes it as "U2 spliceosomal RNA". It matches the Rfam family "U2 spliceosomal RNA". Rfam says of the family: U2 is a small nuclear RNA (snRNA) component of the spliceosome (involved in pre-mRNA splicing). Lineage: Eukaryota; Viridiplantae; Streptophyta; Magnoliopsida; Sapindales; Rutaceae. The record is from Rfam by way of RNAcentral.
AUGCCUCUCUCGGCCUUACGGCUAAGAUCAAGUGUAAUAUUUGUUCUUAUCAGUAUGAUUUCCCACAUGAGAUUAAAUUGAUUUUUGUAGGGAAGGGCCGGCCAUUGUAGCUUGCUUAUUGGGUCUGACGAGCGUUGCCCGUGCGCUGCACUACUGCAAGGGCCCGGCGCACCCCGG